CUUUGGUUACAUCUUCUGACAUCAGACUCGGACUUCUCUUGAACUGAAUUUUAAUGUGCGUAUUGUUAUGCGUUUACUUUUCUACAUUGGCUAGAGGUAUAGGGGGAGGGUUGAGAUCUCACAAACAUGUUUAACCCCGCCGCAUUUUUGCGCCUGUCCCAAGCCUCUGGCCUUUGUUAGUCUUGUAUUAUUUUAAUUUUAGUUUCUUGUGUACAAUUUGUAAAUUAGUAUGGCGUUCAUUAUCACUGAACUAG
Molecule: long non-coding RNA, 254 nt
Filed under: Mytilus galloprovincialis (Mediterranean mussel)
Lineage: Eukaryota; Metazoa; Mollusca; Bivalvia; Mytilida; Mytilidae
Source: RNAcentral